Molecule: non-coding RNA, 115 nt
Organism: Acanthosepion pharaonis
Lineage: Eukaryota; Metazoa; Mollusca; Cephalopoda; Sepiida; Sepiidae
Source: the annotation of a GenBank genome assembly
UUACGGUCAAAUCACGCUGAAACACCGGUUCUCGUUCGAUCACCGAAGUUAAGCAUCGUAGAGCCAGGUCAGUACUUAGAUGGGGGACCGCUUGGGAACACCUGGUACUGUAAUC